RNAcentral lists this ribosomal RNA (303 nucleotides) under uncultured bacterium. RNAcentral's name for it is "partial 16S ribosomal RNA". It matches the Rfam family "Bacterial small subunit ribosomal RNA", at positions 507 to 809 of the family's 1533-position model. The record is from RNAcentral.
AGCAGUCGCCACGGUAAUUCGAAGGGUGCAAGCGUUACUCGGAAUUACUGGGCGUAAAGCGUGCGUAGGUGGUGGUUUAAGUCCGUUGUGAAAGCCAUGGGCUCAACCUGGGAAUUGCAGUGGAUACUGGGUCACUAGAGUGUGGUAGAGGAUAGUGGAAUUUCCGGUGUAGCAGUGAAAUGCGUAGAGAUCGGAAGGAACAUCUGUGGCGAAGGCGACUAUCUGGGCCAACACUGACACUGAGGCACGAAAGCGUGGGGAGCAAACAGGAUUAGAUACCCCUGUAGUCCCUGUCUCUUAUAA